Molecule: unclassified non-coding RNA, 335 nt
Filed under: soil metagenome
Description: partial contains 5.8S ribosomal RNA, internal transcribed spacer 2, and large subunit ribosomal RNA
Rfam family: 5.8S ribosomal RNA (bases 1-121)
Source: RNAcentral
GAUGAAGAACGUAGCGAAUUGCGAUAUGUAAUGUGAAUUGCAGAUUUUCAGUGAAUCAUCGAAUCUUUGAACGCACAUUGCGCCCGCCAGUAUUCUGGCGGGCAUGCCUGUUCGAGCGUCAUUUCAACCAUCAAGCCCCCGGCUUGUGUUGGGGACCUGCGGCUGCCGCAGGCCCUGAAAACCAGUGGCGGGCUCGCUAGUCACUCCGAGCGUAGUAAUACAUCUCGCUCAGGGCGUGCUGCGGGUUCCGGCCGUUAAAAGCCUUAUUUACCCAAGGUUGACCUCGGAUCAGGUAGGAAGACCCGCUGAACUUAAGCAUAUCAAUAAGCGGAGGA